Long non-coding RNA from Micropterus dolomieu (smallmouth bass), 669 nucleotides. RefSeq lists it as uncharacterized. NCBI's taxonomy places the organism in Eukaryota, Metazoa, Chordata, Actinopteri, Centrarchiformes, Centrarchidae. The record is from RefSeq and is a predicted model, not a curated record. The transcript has 3 exons.
CUUUAUUAUUACUCCAUAUGUUGUGGUGUUUGCUACAGCUGUGUAAGUUGAAGAAUCAUAUUCUUUGACUGUGAAGAUUGCUUCUGGGAAAUGACUGCCGUUGGUUGAGAAGCAGGCUAAAGUGCUUCUGACAUUUAUAUGUAGACAUUAAUAUAAAAAAUAGGCACCCUCUGGAUGAUGGCACGAAGCUCUCUGAUAAGGCCGCCUAUGGAAGGCAGUGAAGCGGAGGCCGACAGCGGAGCGGAAACCCUGCCAGCGUGUUCGGGGCCGAGGCACGCCUUACAGCAGGGAUGGAGAUCCCCGGACAUAAUGUAACCUGUGUGGCAGACGGCGCACACCCAUAGGGAAGGAGCGGUGCCUCGCCCUGGGCCGCUUCAGACUUCAUCCCUCCAGAGGAAACAAUCACUGACCGACCACAGCGGGCCAGUCGCUCCGCGAUCUCCUGUCCCUGGUCCACCCCACUCCCUCUCUGGUGCUGACAGGCUGUAAACGGUUUGUGACCGUUGGCUGGAUGAAUAUUACAUGAUCCAUGCACUACUCUGCUGAUUAGAGUGUGGCACCAGGUGAGUAGUAAAUAAAGGCCAGCUUUGCGCCCCCCGACCCCCCCGCGCGCUCUCGUGAAUACGCUUCAUUCGGGAGGGAGGGGUGGAUGGGGGGUGCAAAACAGUC